RNAcentral lists this long non-coding RNA (3980 nucleotides) under Olea europaea subsp. europaea. Lineage: Eukaryota; Viridiplantae; Streptophyta; Magnoliopsida; Lamiales; Oleaceae. The record is from RNAcentral.
CCACAAUCUACGACACUAGAAACACGAUUCCAGUGAACCUUAAUCCUCUGCGCCCUAAUUUCUCCCCCAAAAAUUCCACCAACUUUAGACGCCUCACUAACGUCGAGCUUCAAGCCAAGAAAGAGAAGGGAUUAUGUUGUAGAUGUGAUGAAGAAUUUACAAUUGGGCACAAAUGUAAGAAUAAGGAGUUACAAGUAUUGGUAGUUCGAGAAAUGGAAGAAGGUGAGGGACGGGCCGAGGCAAUACAGGCCGGCGAACUGAGCUUCGGCGACGGCGAGGGAGAAGGAAGACCGGUGUUGGCCGAGGAAGAAAUCAUUGGCCCGGGUCAGCUGGUUGAACUCUCCAUAAACUCUAUGGUCGGUCUUACAACCCCGGGCACUAUGAAGCUGCUAGGAAGACUUGGCUCGAAGGAUGUGGUGGUUUUAGUGGAUAGUGGAGCAUCACACAAUUUCAUUUCGGCAGAAUUGGUCCAGCAGAUGGGUUUCCCCAUAUCUAGUACAACAAACUAUGGAGUGGUGAUGGGCACCGACUUAACAGUAAGAGGGGAAGGGAUUUGUCGACGGGUGCCUUUGAAGCUGCCGGGGCUGUUAGUGGAGGAAGACUUCUUACCUUUAGAACUGGGCAGCUCCAAUGUUAUAUUGGGAAUACAAUGGCUUAGGUCAUUAGGAAAAAUGCAAGUGGAUUGGAAGGCCCUGACUAUGUCUUUCGACGCCGGAGGAGCUAAAGUGACCUUGUAGGGGGACCCAAGCCUCAGCAAGACCCCCGUAUCAUUGAAGUCAAUGUUGAAAGCUUUUAAGGAGCAAGGAGAAGACCUCUUAUUGGAAUUGGGAAGUAUCACCAUUAAUCCCAGUUCUGUCUCAGACCUUCCGUAAAGAAUCAUUGUUGAAGUUCUGGAGGAGUUCAACUCAGUCUUCGAAUCUCCUACACAGUUGCCACCAAAAAGAAAUCAGGAUCAUGCAAUCACUUUGAAGGCAGGGGCAGAAUCGGUCAGUGUGAGACCAUACCGUUACCCCCACUUCCAAAAGAACGAGAUUGAGCAGUUGGUGAAAGAAAUGUUGGCUGCCUGAAUUAUUCAACAUAGCACCAGCCCUUUUGCAAGCCCUGUAUUGCUAGUAAGGAAGAAGGAUGGCAGUUGGCGAUUUUGCAUGGACUACAGGGCUUUAAACAAGGUCACUGUGCCCAACAAGUUUCCAAUUCUAGUAAUUGAUGAGUUACUGGAUGAGCUGAAUGGAGCCACAGUAUUCUCGAAAAUCGACCAUAAGUCGGGAUAUCACCAGAUUCGGGUUAGGGUUGAAGAUGUGCCGAAGACUACCUUCCGAACUCACGAGGGACAUUAUGAGUUCCUAGUCAUGCCCUUCGGCUUGACUAAUGCACCCGCGACUUUUCAAUCAAUCAUGAACGCCCUCUUCAGAGAGCAACUUCGGAAGUAUGUGUUAGUCUUUUUUGAUGACAUAUUGGUUUACAGUCGCACGGAGAUAGAGCAUCGGGAUCAUUUGCGAACGGUCUUGUGGAUCUUAUUGGAAAACCAGUUUGUUGCAAAUAGGAAGAAAUGCUUAUUUGGACAAACAGAGAUAGAGUACUUGGGUCACAUAAUCUCAAAAAAAUGAGUAGCGGCAGAUGAAUCAAAGUUGACAGCUAUGCGAGACUGGCCACGACCCCAGACGAUCAAAGAGUUGCGGGGAUUCUUGGGGUUGACAGGGUAGUACCGGCGAUUUGUGGAGGGUUAUGGGAAGAUAGCGUGGCCUCUAACCCAGCAAUUGAAGAAGGAUAGCUUUCGGUGGACUGAUGCAGCAGAAUUGGCCUUUAGACAAUUAAAAGAGGCAAUGAUAAAAGUUCUAGUGUUGGCACUCCCUGAUUUCUCGCAGACCUUCAUAAUGGAAAUUGAUGCUUUGAUCACGGAUUAGGGGCUGUCCUAAUGCAAAACCAGAGGCCAAUUGCCUAUUUCAGCCAGACACUUCCACCAAGAAGAGAAUAAAUCAAUUUAUGAACGAGAACUCAUGGCUAUUGUUAUGGCAGUACAAAAAUGGAGGCAUUACUUGCUGGGAAGACGAUUCGUGGUCAGGACAAAUCAGAAGGUUCUUAAGUUUCUCAUGGAACAACGUUUAGUGAAUGUAGAAUAUCAGAAGUGGCUAACAAAGUUGCUGGGCUUUGACUUGGUGAUUGAGUACAAGCCGAGACAAGAGAAUAAAGCAGCAGACGCACUUUCGUGUAAAGGGGUAGUAGUUUCUUUAAUGGUUCUCAGCAUACCAAGUUAUCUGCAACUCGACGAGAUAAGAAGGACCGUGGAAGAGGAUCCUGAGCUGGGUCGAAUUGUGACUGCCCAGAAGGACGAUUCCUCCUCUUGCCCAGGUUAUGCCCUAGUAAAUGAGGUCCUGUUGUAUAAAGACCAGAUAGCACUACCCGGGAAUUCUCCAUUCACUCUACUGGCAUUACAGGAGGGACACGAUAGUAAAGUAGGGGUUCAUGGAGGUUUCCUCAAAACUUACAAAAGGUUAGCUGAGACUUUCCAUUGGGUGGGUAUGAAGAAGGAGAUUAGGAAUUAUGUUGCUGCCUGUGAAGUGUGUCAACAGCACAAAUAUUCCACUUUGGCACCUGCAGGUCUAUUACAGCCACUUCCUGUGCAAGAGAAAAUAUGGGAGAAUAUAUCUAUGGAUUUCAUAGAAGGAUUACCCAGGUCGGAGGGGUUCGAUUCCAUACUGGUUGUGGUAGAUCGCUUGAGCAAAUAUGGCCACUUUAUUGGCUUGAAACAUCCAUUCAUGGCGCCAUCAGUAGCAGCAAUAUUUGUUAAAGAAGUGGUUCGAUUGCAUGGGAUCCCCAAGUCAAUCGUGUCUGAUCGGGAUAAAGUAUUCGUGAGCAACUUUUGGAACGAGCUAUUUCGCCUACAGGGAACCAAAUUGAGGGUCAGUACAGCUUAUCAUCCUCAAUCCGACGGCCAGACUGAAGUGGUGAAUAGGGGGAUUGAGACCUACUUGCGAUGUUUUGCUUCAUUCAGGCUAAAAGAAUGGGUCCGUUUCCUACCUUGGGUUGAAUUGUCAUAUAAUACAUCCUUCCAUGUGUCUGCACAACUAACGCCCUUCCGGGUAGUAUACGGACGGGACCCUCCCCCCUUGUUGCGUUUUGAACAAGGAAUGACGGUUGUUUCAUCCUUAGAUCAACUAUUGGUAGAGAAAGACAAAAUUUUGGACGAACUCAAGAUACAUUUGGCCAGAGCACAACAGCAGAUGAAACACUCAGCUGAUAAGCACAGAAGGGCAAUGGAAUUCUCAAUUGGUGACUGGGUUUACUUGAAAAUGCGUCCUUAUCGUUGCAAAACUCUAGCACGACGUGCUAGCGAGAAACUCUCCCCUUGAUACUAUGGACCAUUUAAAGUAAUAGCUAGGGUUGGAAUGGUUCUGGGAACACAAAUUCAUCCAGUGUUUCACGUAUCACAAUUGCGAAAAGCAAUGGGGGGACAUCAUUUCCCUUCGGACUUUCCUAGCAACUUGGGGGCAGACUGGGAGUUAAUGGUUGAAUCAGAAGCAGUGCUGGGAAUUAGAACUGUGGCACAAGAAACAACAGACGGGCUGGAAGUACUUAUCCAAUGGAAGGGCUUAUCUCCGCUAGAGGCUACGUGGGAACCAAGCUAUCUCAUCAACCAACAAUUUUCCUCCUUCCACCUUAAGGACAAGGUGGCUGAAUUGGGGGGGGGGGAGUAAUUGAUAGGCCACCGGUUAAAUAUACUUAUACUAGAAGAAACAAGAAGAGCGGGGAGUGAGGGCAGUAACCAAUUUUGUUAGUAUAGUAGGAAGGGGUGAGUAAAUUCUGUUACAGAGACUAUAAAUAGGGGCUGAAUAAAAGUGUUAGGCAUGAGAUAAUUAAGUGAGGAAAUCACAGUGUGGAGAGUCACAGCCCUCUCAAACGGCUGCUUAUGUUCAUCUUUUCUUUUCUUGUAAUUCGGUCUACUUCAAAUUAAUACAAAGUUUCCUUUUCACUGUUAUAUA